GCUUGACCUCAAAUCAGGUAGGAUUACCCGCUGAACUUAAGCAUAUCAAUAAGCGGAGGAAAAGAAACUAACAAGGAUUCCCCUAGUAACUGCGAGUGAAGAGGGAAAAGCUCAAAUUUAAAAUCUGGCAGUCUCUGAUUGUCCGAGUUGUAAUUUAGAGAAGUGUUACCCGUGUUGGACCGUGUACCAAGUCUCCCUGGAAUGGAGGCGUCCAUAGAGGGGUGAGAAUCCCCGUUCUUUGAUACCGGAUCCCCC
Molecule: ribosomal RNA, 255 nt
Filed under: Lentinula edodes (shiitake mushroom)
Lineage: Eukaryota; Fungi; Basidiomycota; Agaricomycetes; Agaricales; Omphalotaceae
Description: partial 25S rRNA
Rfam family: Eukaryotic large subunit ribosomal RNA
Source: RNAcentral